Molecule: transfer RNA, 71 nt
Filed under: Marmota monax (woodchuck)
Lineage: Eukaryota; Metazoa; Chordata; Mammalia; Rodentia; Sciuridae
Description: tRNA.Ala
Rfam family: tRNA
About the family: Transfer RNA (tRNA) molecules are approximately 80 nucleotides in length.
Source: RNAcentral
GAGGUUGUGGCUCAGUGGUAGAGCACUUGCCUAGCAUGUGUGAGGCCCUGGGUUCGAUCCUCAGCACCACA